RNAcentral lists this ribosomal RNA (301 nucleotides) under uncultured bacterium. RNAcentral describes it as "partial 16S ribosomal RNA". It matches the Rfam family "Bacterial small subunit ribosomal RNA", at positions 509 to 807 of the family's 1533-position model. The record is from RNAcentral.
CAGCAGCCACGGGAAUACGAAGGGGGCUAGCGUUGUUCGGAAUUACUGGGCGUAAAGCGCGUGUAGGCGGGUCUUUAAGUCAGGGGUGAAAUGCCAAGGCUCAACCUUGGAACUGCCUUUGAUACUGGAGAUCUUGAGUCCGGGAGAGGUGAGUGGAACUGCGAGUGUAGAGGUGAGAUUCGUAGAUAUUCGCAAGAACACCAGUGGCGAAGGCGGCUCACUGGCCCGGAAUUGACGCUGAGACGCGAAAGCGUGGGGAGCAAACAGGAUUAGAUACCCCUGUAGUCCCUGUCUCUUAUAC